CAUACCCGUACCGUAAACCGACACAGGUGGAUGGGGAGAGAAUCCCAAGGCCGGCGGGAGAAGCAUUGUCAAGGAACUCGGCAAAAUGGCCCCGUAACUUAGGGAAAAGGGGUGCCAUCGAAGGAUGGCCGCAGAGAAUAGGCUCAAGCAACUGUUUAGCAAAAACACAGGUCUAUGCGAAACCGAAAGGUGAGGUAUAUGGGCUGACGCCUGCCCGGUGCUGGAAGGUUAAGAGGAGAGGUCAGGAAACGAAGCCUUGAAUUGAAGCCCCAGUAAACGGCGGCCGUAACUAUAACGGUCCUAAGGUAGCGAAAUUCCUUGUCGGGUAAGUUCCGACCCGCACGAAAGGCGUAAUGAUUUGAGCGCUGUCUCGACAAUGCACCCGGUGAAAUUGAAGUGCCAGUGAAGAUGCUGGCUACCUGCGCCAGGACGGAAAGACCCCAUGGAGCUUUACUCCAGUUUGAUACUGGGAUCCGGUGCUGUAUGUACAGGAUAGGUGGGAGGCUAAGAGCCACAGACGCCAGUCUGUGAGGAGCCGCUGUUGGGAUACCACCCUUAUAGUACUGGGUUUCUAACCUGCGCCCGUAAGCCGGGCGGGGGACAAUGUCUGACGGGGAGUUUGACUGGGGCGGUCGCCUCCGAAAGGGUAUCGGAGGCGCUCAAAGGUUCCCUCAGAAUGGACGGAAACCAUUCGUAGAGCGCAAAGGCAGAAGGGAGCCUGACUGUGACACCGACGGGUGGAGCAGGUACGAAAGUAGGACUUAGUGAUCCGGUGGCAUAAAGUGGGAUUGCCAUCGCUCAACGGAUAAAAGCUACCCUGGGGAUAACAGGCUGAUCACUCCCAAGAGUUCACAUCGACGGAGUGGUUUGGCACCUCGAUGUCGGCUCAUCGCAUCCUGGGGCUGUAGCAGGUCCCAAGGGUUGGGCUGUUCGCCCAUUAAAGCGGUACGCGAGCUGGGUUCAGAACGUCGUGAGACAGUUCGGUCCCUAUCCGGCGUGGGCGCAGGAUAUCUGAGAGGAGCUGUCCUUAGUACGAGAGGACCGGGAUGGACGAACCGCUGGUGUACCUGUUGGCGACCAACGCCAUGGCAGGGUAGCCAAGUCCGGCAGGGAUAAACGCUGAAGGCAUCUAAGCGUGAAGCCCCCCUCAAGAUGAGAUAUCCCCCACACAAGUGGAUAAGACCCCUUGAAGACGACAAGGUAGAUAGGGUAUAGGUGUAAGUGCAGCAAUGCAUUGAGCUGAAUACUACUAAUCGGUCGAAGGCUUAUCCUG
Molecule: ribosomal RNA, 1273 nt
Filed under: Lachnospiraceae bacterium A4
Lineage: Bacteria; Bacillati; Bacillota; Clostridia; Lachnospirales; Lachnospiraceae
Description: bacterial LSU rRNA
Rfam family: Bacterial large subunit ribosomal RNA
Source: RNAcentral